Molecule: ribosomal RNA, 459 nt
Filed under: uncultured bacterium
Lineage: Bacteria
Description: partial 16S ribosomal RNA
Rfam family: Bacterial small subunit ribosomal RNA
Source: RNAcentral
CCUACGGGUGGCAGCAGUGAGGAAUAUUGGUCAAUGGGCGCGAGCCUGAACCAGCCAAGUCGCGUGAGGGAAGACGGUCCUAUGGAUUGUAAACCUCUUCUGUCGGGGAGCAAAAGACGCCACGCGUGGCGUUCCGAGAGUACCCGAAGAAAAAGCAUCGGAUAACCCCGUGCCAGCAGCCGCGGUAAUACGGAGGAUGCGAGCUUUAUCCGGAUUUAUGGGGUUUAAAGGGUGCGCAGGGGGAAGAUAAAGUCAGCGGGAAAAUUGAGAGGCUCAACCUCUUCGAGCCGUUGAAACUGGUUUUCUUGAGUGAGCGAGAAGUAUGCGGAAUGCGUGGUGUAGCGGUGAAAUGCAUAGAUAUCACGCAGAACUCCGAUUGCGAAGGCAGCAUACCGGCGCUCAACUGACGCUCAUGCACGAAAGUGUGGGUAUCGAACAGGAUUAGAUACCCGGGUAGUC